CACGAGUCUAAGGGCUCGGGAGGCGAGAAAGCCGGUCGCCAGUAGCCUCCUCUGACGCUCUCCUGCUCCUCUCCUCGAGGGUACCGCCUCCGCCGUGGCUUCGUCGCCUCGGGGCGGCGCGGGGCGGGGCAGGCCACGUAGCAAUUCGAUCCGCCUCGCCGGUAGUGCUUGUUCCCCCUCGACCUCUCGUAGCUACUCCUCUCGGACGCCAGCCGCACGCGCGUCGACGCCGUCCGGUACAGGCUGCCGUGGCGGGGCCUCUUCCAAUCCCCCUACCUGACCUCGUCCUCCGGGCCGCUAGGCCGGCUGGGCCAGCACCUGCGGCUCCCCAAGCGCCCAUACCGCCCCGACCCAGAGCUGUCAUUGAAGCAGCAGCAGGUGCCGCGUCCAAGAAAACCGGUGAAGGUUCGUUCAUCUAGACCUCAUGUAUUUCCUCCCAACGUAAGUUGUGAGCACUUCCGACCGAAACACCGAUGUUCUUAAAGUCACUGAAGAGAGUUGGUCCUUUAACAAUCUCGGAACCGUUCUCUUCCUUAUGGCAGACAACCCUACAGUGGUAAACGAACACCUACCAGAUGAGUCGCUUCUUUAGAACGUAGUCGGUUACGAAGAGUUUAGUAACUCAGUGAGGUACGACCGAAACAGGGACAAAACGUGCCUCUACGACAAGAACUACUUAGCGACCUGACGUGGUAUAACUCACCCCUACAGUAAUAUGCGGUGGAACGUGUCGAAGACUGAGGUUUUAUACAGCACAAAGACUGUCUACAAGUACCUCAUAUACUGGCAGGAGGUUGACUGGGUUUACGUCAUGAAGAGUUUCUCUAUCUCCAUCUACUGUUACCUCCGACCAGCUAACAUUUUGGACGUAAUCUUCCGUUGUCUUUUCCUCACCUCUAUAGUCAUCGGCGUGUGCUGUGGUGACCUCCUUACCUCUGGUUUUAUGAACUUCGACGGCACUAUCGAUCCGAACCUCAACUACACAUGUAAUGUUUCCAACUAUGUCUCGUGAGGGACUCUCGGAACUUCCCCCUACACUUGUGUUCGAGCCUACUAACCGAACCUUGACAAUAUGCGCGACGGUUUAUCUCAAGAACGGUGUCUUGUCUUCGUUGUGUUAAAAAUACAGCGCACCCCAAGCGACUACUCGUAACUACAAGCGGUCUACUAUGAAAUCUCAACAAACAGUCGACCUCACACACCACCUAAAAAACAGUAGUCAUGGUGUUUGGUUAUAUCAGAGUGCGGGAGUCAGUGCGGGGCCUGACUUCGUCUUCGCCUGUCUCUCCGUGUUCACGUCGUUGUUCUUGAACCUCCUCUUCUUCUUGACCUGGGUGUCCUCCUCGGUCACCUUAUCAGCAGUGAUCCUACACACUCAUACUGCACACCCGGAUUCGUUCCGACACCGCAAUUUCCACAUCGGCACUACCGUCACAUCCGUACAACAGUAAACUCUAUUAAAUCUAGGGAAGAGUAGGACUUG
RNAcentral lists this ribosomal RNA (1483 nucleotides) under Triticum aestivum (bread wheat). Its description in RNAcentral is "partial small subunit ribosomal RNA". Lineage: Eukaryota; Viridiplantae; Streptophyta; Magnoliopsida; Poales; Poaceae. The record is from RNAcentral.